CAAGAGGUUUCACAAAAACAACCAGCUUUAAUUAAAUUAACAGGUUUUCUCAACAUCUGGAUGGCUUUUAGUGAAGAACUGUCUGCUUUUGUCAGCUGAUGAGCGAUUAAAAACUUUGACAGCCAAUCAGAAUCAAUCCUGCUGGAGAAUUUAAAGUGGUAGAUGAGCGUUUGCUUAGAAUAAACAGACGAUAUCGUCUGCUGCUGUGGAUGUUGUGUCUUUGAAUGUCUUUGGAGUGGAAGAUGAAGCUGUGAGGAGCAUCAAUGCACUGAAGCUGAGCUGCAGAAACACGCUUAACACGAGUCCAGAGUCCAGACAGAAGCAAUGCACCCUGGGAAUCAAGUGCAGCAUUUUUCCCCAAUCAGACGCUGAUUAUGAAUGUGAGAGGACCCUCGGCUCGAGCAUUGAUGGCUUCUCUGUCAUUUUUACACAGUGGACACACUUGAGAUUGUUUGGCAGCUCGGUGAGAGGGCCUCUGCUGAACUGGCGAGCCAAACAAAUCAGCAGCUCACAGUCAGUGCGGUGAUCACCAAAAGCACAUUCACAGAGGAUGAUGGGUGGACGGAUGUCGGCUCUCUUUUAUUAAAGCUCAUCUCUGCGUGUAAUUGGCUCAGAGAUGGCUGAUAAUCUGCCGUGGAAGAUAUUUGUCUCCGACUUGUUCCGUGUCCUUCUCAGCUGGAGCCAAAUUAUCAUACUCUCAAAAUGAAGAUCUAUUCCUGGAAUAUUCUUGGAGCAACACCGAAUCAUCAGACGGAUUGCAUUAAUAUAACUGUUUUAAUUCUUCAUGUCUGCUCACCAAAACGUCUGAAAAACUGUGAACAAUAAUCAAAUAUUCAUGCCAUCUGGAGUCGUGGCGUCUUGAUAGUUCAGGAAUUGGGACGGUUAUGCAAUAAUAGCAGGUUUAAUUGGAUUAGUACAUAGCAGAUCUUUGAAUCUGGAUCACAUUACAGCCUGUUUUGACAAAGAAACACUCACUGCUUUAAGCGUAAUUUGGCAACACCUUACAAAAGGGUUCCAGUUGUAUCUCCAAUUCAGUUUUUUUUUUUCCCGCCACGGAAUAUUUAAUAAAAAAUUAAUUGUGACUUUUUAUCUAGAGUUUCUCAGUUUAUAUCUCUCAAUUAGGACUUUGUUUGUAAAAUAUUAACUUUUUUCCUUGCAAUUGUGAGAUUACAUCUUAUAAAAGUUUUUUUCAUGUCUCCUCUGUGGAAUAAAAAAGUGACUUUUUAUCUCACAAUUCUAAAUUGCUUUCUCACAAUUGGAAAUCUCACAAGAAAAAAAGGCAAAUUCUAUUCAAGUUCUAAUUCUUUUUUAAUUUCCAACACAUAAUAAAAAAUGUAAUUGCAUCUUUUUUUGUAACUAUGUUUGUUCGUUGUUGUUGUUUUCUUGCAGUUGUGAGAUAAUGACUCACAAUUGGGACACUUCUUCUCAGAAUUGCAAAUUUAUAAUUCUGACUUUAAAAAAAAAAUGUGAGGAUAAAAGCUAAAAAAAAAAAAAAGGUUCCUGUAGUGAAACAGGCUUCUAUAGUCAACAACAUUCAAUUAAAAAUACUUCUAAAGCAUUUAUUAAUCUUAGUUCAUGUUCAUUUUAGUGUUUACAAAUACAUUAUUCAAAUCAAAAGUUGUAUCUAUGAAUAUUAUUUAAUGGACCUGAUCUAACAUUUGCAUUUUUAUUAAUUAACUUUAACAAUAAUUAAUAAAUACUGUAACAAACAUAUGUUUCAUUAACUAAUGGGUUAUUGUAAAGUGCUGUUACCCAAAAAGAAAACAUUUGCGAAAGAAAAUAAAAUAAACGUAAUUUAAAGUGUAUUCUUAUAUAUUUCACAAUUUGAUUUAAAAUUGUUUUAAGGGUGUUUAGAUGGAAAACAAGUCAACAAUAAUGAUCACUGAAAUGAAAUAAUGAAAAAUAAGCACUGUGUUUUACCUUUAUACCUGCCUAAAAUCUGUCAGUUUUUUCAGGUGAUGCCUGCAGAUUGUGGACGUACUAAACAAACUUCAUUGGGAUGAAUAGAAAUGGGAACGUACGGCUCUCUCCUGGUACACUGAAACUCACCGGACCGAGGAACGUCAAAAGAUGUCUCUGGAAAUUUCACUCUAAUGGACUGGAGUUUGGGGCAAGCAAUGCCAAAUAAUUAAAAUGCACAAAUGUCCCACCGUGUGAAACCACCCACCUGGCAACAUGCGAGGGCAACAGCUGGUCAGACAUCUCACGCUGCUUAAUUACCGCUGACAUUCCCGCGGCUCUUAAUAAAGGUACAUGGAAAUGACAUGAAAAGAAUUUGCAGUCUUACAGCAGUGUUCCUGCUUGACAGCUGGGAAAUCAGGCUUUAGAGAUCAACAACAUGACCAAAGUUUUGCAUUGCAGGAUUUUACAAUACACUCUCAAAAACAAUGUGCAUAUACGUUAAAGGAUCAUAUUUGUACUUAAAGUCUACAUAUUAGAACCUUUUGUAAGGGUACUGCCCCAG
Cyprinus carpio carpio is the source of this 2464-nucleotide long non-coding RNA. NCBI's taxonomy places the organism in Eukaryota, Metazoa, Chordata, Actinopteri, Cypriniformes, Cyprinidae. The record is from Ensembl.